CCUGAUGCAGCAACGCCGCGUGAGGGACGACGGCCUUCGGGUUGUAAACCUCUUUUAGCAAGGAAGAAGCGAAAGUGACGGUACUUGCAGAAAAAGCACCGGCUAACUACGUGCCAGCAGCCGCGGUAAUACGUAGGGUGCAAGCGUUAUCCGGAAUUAUUGGGCGUAAAGAGCUCGUAGGCGGUUUGUCGCGUCUGCUGUGAAAUCUGGGGGCUCAACCCCCAGCCUGCAGUGGGUACGGGCAGACUAGAGUGCGGUAGGGGAGAUUGGAAUUCCUGGUGUAGCGGUGGAAUGCGCAGAUAUCAGGAGGAACACCGAUGGCGAAGGCAGAUCUCUGGGCCGUAACUGACGCUGAGGAGCGAAAGGGUGGGGAGCAAACAGGCUUAGAUACCCUGGUAGUCCACCCCGUAAACGUUGGGAACUAGUUGUGGGGACCAUUCCACGGUGUCCGUGACGCAGCUAACGCAUUAAGUUCCCCGCCUGGGGAGUACGGCCGCAAGGCUAAAACUCAAAGGAAUUGACGGGGACCCGCACAAGCGGCGGAGCAUGCGGAUUAAUUCGAUGCAACGCGAAGAACCUUACCAAGGCUUGACAUAUACGAGAACGGGCUAGAAAUAGUCAACUCUUUGGACACUC
Molecule: ribosomal RNA, 636 nt
Filed under: Microbacterium sp. Se3Pt_1522
Lineage: Bacteria; Bacillati; Actinomycetota; Actinomycetes; Micrococcales; Microbacteriaceae
Description: bacterial SSU rRNA
Rfam family: Bacterial small subunit ribosomal RNA
Source: RNAcentral